This 253-nucleotide ribosomal RNA is filed under the name uncultured bacterium. Its description in RNAcentral is "partial 16S ribosomal RNA". It matches the Rfam family "Bacterial small subunit ribosomal RNA", at positions 524 to 776 of the family's 1533-position model. The record is from RNAcentral.
UACGUAGGGGGCAAGCGUUGUCCGGAAUCAUUGGGCGUAAAGCGCGUGUAGGCGGCUCGAUAAGUCUGCUGUGAAAGUCCAGGGCUCAACCCUGGGAUGCCGGUGGAUACUGUCGGGCUCGAGUCCGGAAGAGGCGAGUGGAAUUCCUGGUGUAGCGGUGAAAUGCGCAGAUAUCAGGAGGAACACCAACAGCGAAGGCAGAUCUCUGGGACGUUACUGACGCUGAGACGCGAAAGCGUGGGGAGCAAACAGG